Oncorhynchus tshawytscha (Chinook salmon) is the source of this 584-nucleotide long non-coding RNA. NCBI's taxonomy places the organism in Eukaryota, Metazoa, Chordata, Actinopteri, Salmoniformes, Salmonidae. The record is from Ensembl.
AAAGUGCUCGCCUGACUUUGAAGCCCCGAAGAAUACACAAUAUCACCGGGCACGACAAGUGAAAAAGACCUCGUGUUUCCUCUGCCUUCCCAGGGAUCAUAGCAGGCAAAGGAGAGGGUACGGGGGGGGGAACGGCUAGGCUACACGUUUCCUCUGAGAGGGUACAGGGAGGGGAACGGCUAGGCUACACGUUUCCUCUGAGAGGGUACAGGGAGGGGAACGGCUAGGCUACACGUUUCCUCUGAGAGGGUACAGGGAGGGGAACGGCUAGGCUACACGUUUCCUCUGAGAGGGUACAGGGCGGGGAACGGCUAGGCUACACAUUUCCUCUGAGAGGGUACAGGGAGGGGAACGGCUAGGCUACACCUUUCCUCUGCUUCACACCAUAACAAACCGGCUCGCUGUGAGACUUACAGAGCACUGGCUCGAGGUUAUGUGAGACACAGCGUUUUCUUCUAUCUUUUUUUUAACCUAUGAUUGAAUUACGUCUCAGAUCUCAUCUGUUGUGUGGCAGUUCUAUGGACUAUUUGGACUGUCAGUCUGCACCGUCUUCCCUUCCCUCUCAGUCAGCGCCACAAGUUCAC